CCUACGGGUGGCUGCAGUGGGGAAUAUUGGACAAUGGGCGAAAGCCUGAUCCAGCCAUGCCGCGUGUGUGAAGAAGGCCUUCGGGUUGUAAAGCACUUUCAGUGGGGAAGAAAGCCUUGGGGCUAAUACCCUCGAGGAAGGACAUCACCCACAGAAGAAGCACCGGCUAACUCCGUGCCAGCAGCCGCGGUAAUACGGAGGGUGCGAGCGUUAAUCGGAAUUACUGGGCGUAAAGCGCGCGUAGGCGGUCUGAUAAGCCGGUUGUGAAAGCCCCGGGCUCAACCUGGGAACGGCAUCCGGAACUGUCAGGCUAGAGUGCAGGAGAGGAAGGUAGAAUUCCCGGUGUAGCGGUGACAUGCGUAGAGAUCGGGAGGAAUACCAGUGGCGAAGGCGGCCUUCUGGACUGACACUGACGCUGAGGUGCGAAAGCGUGGGUAGCAAACAGGAUUAGAUACCCGGGUAGUC
RNAcentral lists this ribosomal RNA (465 nucleotides) under Vreelandella stevensii. Its description in RNAcentral is "partial 16S ribosomal RNA". It matches the Rfam family "Bacterial small subunit ribosomal RNA", at positions 338 to 795 of the family's 1533-position model. Lineage: Bacteria; Pseudomonadati; Pseudomonadota; Gammaproteobacteria; Oceanospirillales; Halomonadaceae. The record is from RNAcentral.